CAGUGGCGAGGCACCAUGGAGUUCCUGCUGCAGCCGAUGCGCGAGUACGUACAUCCUUGCUUGUCUAGCGAUCUCGUCUCUAUUCUUUGUCCCCUGGAUUUAGUGAUUGACAGGAUUUGGUUUCGGCCUGAAUCAGAUCCACUUUCCCUGGAGGAGGUUGCAGAGAGCUUGGUGCCGCCCCCUGUGUCGGCAGCGGCGACGGGAGGCGAUAUGGUGGCGGAGCAGGAACGGGCAGUGUACAGCGCCGAAGCUCAGAUCUUGGCGGCCAGGGUAGCGGCGGCCACGGACAGGAGAGACAGCUCACCCCCGACGUCGAAGUUGUCAACUGGGAAGAUGAAUCCCCG
This 344-nucleotide long non-coding RNA is filed under the name Triticum aestivum (bread wheat). Its description in RNAcentral is "long non-coding RNA (TAES_LNC017488)". The record is from RNAcentral. Lineage: Eukaryota; Viridiplantae; Streptophyta; Magnoliopsida; Poales; Poaceae.